CCCAGACUCCUACGGGAGGCAGCAGUGGGGGAUAUUGCACAAUGGGGGAAACCCUGAUGCAGCGACGCCGCGUGAGUGAAGAAGUAUUUCGGUAUGUAAAGCUCUAUCAGCAGGGAAGAAAAAAGACGGUACCUGACUAAGAAGCCCCGGCUAACUACGUGCCAGCAGCCGCGGUAAUACGUAGGGGGCAAGCGUUAUCCGGAUUUACUGGGUGUAAAGGGAGCGUAGACGGCAAUACAAGUCGGAAGUGAAAUACCCGGGCUCAACCUGGGAACUGCUUUGGAAACUGUAUGGCUGGAGUGCUGGAGAGGUAAGCGGAAUUCCUAGUGUAGCGGUGAAAUGCGUAGAUAUUAGGAGGAACACCAGUGGCGAAGGCGGCUUACUGGACUGCAACUGACGUUGAGGCCCGAAAGCGUGGGGAGCAAACAGGAUUAGAUACCCUGUAUU
Molecule: ribosomal RNA, 447 nt
Filed under: uncultured bacterium
Lineage: Bacteria
Description: bacterial SSU rRNA
Rfam family: Bacterial small subunit ribosomal RNA
Source: RNAcentral